AUUGCUUAACAUUAUGGGGACAAAAAUAGAUAUAAGCUUGUAUAAAAUCAAUAACAAUAAGUUGUAGUGACGUGAAUUAUCUUAUGGGUGGGUGUCAUUUGCCAUAUUUCUUAUUUGUUCGAUACAUGUUUAGGAUACUCAAGAUUAAAAUUCAAGAAACAACUUUGUUUUCAAGAAAACAUUGAAUUAUACGCUAACAUUGAUGUAUUUCUAGUUAUUCAUGUUUGCGUUGUACAAAAUAAAGACUCGGGUUUUCUUAUUAUCAGCACAGUGAUGUGGAUAAUAAGGUUAGAGACUAAAAUAACAAAAUAUUUAAGAUUGUAUGAAGGCUCCAAUACUAAAGCUAAAUGAUAGUGAUGUAUAAAGAUAAUAAGUAAAAGUGAUUAGUAUAAAGAAAAGGACCGAGUAGACAUAUUCGGUAGUGCAAUUAUUUUGUUUUGGACCAAAGUUGAUUUUGUGUGAAGUCUAGUUAAAAUGACCUAUAAGAUAUUUUAGAGUUGAAAAAUCUAAUAAUUUUGAGGGGAGUGGAAGGAACAACAUGCAACCGGCAGACAAGGCUGUCGUGGCCAUCCGUCACUGAAGGGGCCACGACGACGAUGACACAAACGGAGACACGAUUGGCAGGGCAGGGCAGCCACGCGCAUACGAGGUGGUUGUCCAAUAUAGGGUUUAGUUUCUUUUUUUAGUUAACGGUCGAAAUAUGAAUAUUUUUAUGUAAAUUAUCUUCGAACUUGAAUGAAGUCGUCCUAUUGAUCGAAAUUCAUGAGGUUAAUUCGAAUUGUUGUUAGGAUGUAUGCU
Molecule: long non-coding RNA, 798 nt
Filed under: Hordeum vulgare
Lineage: Eukaryota; Viridiplantae; Streptophyta; Magnoliopsida; Poales; Poaceae
Description: long non-coding RNA (HVUL_LNC002449)
Source: RNAcentral